Molecule: long non-coding RNA, 363 nt
Filed under: Citrus maxima (pomelo)
Lineage: Eukaryota; Viridiplantae; Streptophyta; Magnoliopsida; Sapindales; Rutaceae
Description: long non-coding RNA (CMAX_LNC001171)
Source: RNAcentral
UACAAUUUAAUAUCGUCAUUAAAUAUAUCAACCGCAAUCUUCUUUCUAAAGUACUCGACAUGACUAGCGUUAAACUCCAAUCUAAGCCCGAACAUUAAAUACAUCGUAACCAUCAAUACAAAAACACCGCAAUCGCCAGUUCCGGGCUCUUGUUGUGGCGCGCUCUUAACUGCGAUAACUUUCCACGGGUCUUCACUCUGCAACUCCGGUCGGAUAUUGUAGAAGCCAACAUAUUCCAACCAUCGAGGGAAUAUAACUUCAAGUGGCUUGAAUUUCAACUUGUACCUUUUGUCGUCGCGAUUUGUGAGUAAUGAGUCAUAAAUCCAGACUUUGUUUUUCCGAAAGUCAACUUGUGCUAAUACC